AAUGAGACCAAGGUUGGCAGAUCCAUCCUUUAAGCCUCAAAGGAAUCACAUCCUUGCUGCACUGGAUAACUUUUCAGAAGUAUUACGUAUUCGGUAUUCUUCUCCACUUUUUCGUUUAAGGACGGCAAAUGCUAUCCAGGAACGAGUACGUUUUCAUAACACUGGUCCCUCAUCGGUCCAUGGUAUUAUAGUGAUGAGCAUUGAAGAUGGUCAUGACGGCACCCCUGGGUUAACCCAAUUGGAUUCUAACUACUCAUACAUCGUGGUAAUCUUCAAUUCAUGUCCAACAGAGGUGUCAUUUGGCAGCUUUGCACUUCGCUGAAGAAAUCUUCAACUGCAUCCCAUACAGACUCUGUCAAGCGAUGAACUAGUCAAGAACUCAUCUUAUGACGCAUCCUCAGGGUGCUUCACCGUGCCUCCGAGGACGACAUCUGUAUUUGUCGAGCCUCGGAAAACUUGAGCAGCGUAUGCAGUGAGAACACUAAAAUAAUUGUCUAGUGAAUUUUCCAUGCGAGAGGUACGUUGAUUGAGUGUAUUAGUCAUAGUUUCUCUCCUCAGUUUAACUUGGACCCAAAAUUCAGUUAUUUCCAGGGCUGUUUUUUGAGUAGAAAAUGAAACCACUCUAGCAAUUAUUUUUGCUACCCCAACCUUUUCUUGAUCCAUAUUGCAGCACAUAGACUUUCCAUUUGGAGAUAAAAUAUUAGAUUAUGAUUUCAACCUUCUAA
Molecule: long non-coding RNA, 725 nt
Organism: Pistacia vera
Lineage: Eukaryota; Viridiplantae; Streptophyta; Magnoliopsida; Sapindales; Anacardiaceae
Exons: 4
Source: RefSeq, a predicted model, not a curated record